RNAcentral lists this ribosomal RNA (451 nucleotides) under uncultured bacterium. RNAcentral describes it as "bacterial SSU rRNA". It matches the Rfam family "Bacterial small subunit ribosomal RNA", at positions 354 to 796 of the family's 1533-position model. The record is from RNAcentral.
GUGGGGAAUAUUGCACAAUGGGCGCAAGCCUGAUGCAGCGACGCCGCGUGGAGGAAGAAGGUUUUCGGAUUGUAAACUCCUGUUAAGCGGGAAAAAAUCACGACGGAUAAUACCCGAUCGUGGAUGAUGGUACCGCUAGAGAAAGUACCGGCAAACUUCGUGCCAGCAGCCGCGGUAAUACGAAGGGUACGAGCGUUAUUCGGAGUUACUGGGCGUAAAGAGCGUGUAGGCGGUUUGUUAAGUUAGUUGUUAAAUGCCCCGGCCUAACUGGGGAAAUGCAGCUAAAACUGGCGAUCUAGAGUUCAAGAGAGAGAGGUAGAAUUCCCGGAGUAGCGGUAAAAUGCGUAGAUCUCGGGAGGAAUACCGAUGGCGAAGGCAGCCUCUUGGCUUGUAACUGACGCUAAAGUGCGAAAGCGUGGGGAGCAAACAGGAUUAGAAACCCGAGUAGUCC